Molecule: long non-coding RNA, 1723 nt
Organism: Morus notabilis
Lineage: Eukaryota; Viridiplantae; Streptophyta; Magnoliopsida; Rosales; Moraceae
Exons: 3
Source: RefSeq, a predicted model, not a curated record
GGAGAUUUGAAUUCGAGUCUGAGGAUGUUGUCAGACCUAGGCAAAGCCACAUUUUAUCCGCCGUCAUUCAGAUCCAAUUCAUGCCAUCAGAUCUCUCUUCUAUUAUUCUAUUUAUAAAAAACCCAAAAAAAAAAAAACAAAUCAGAUAUCAAAGGUUGAGGCUGAUUGCAUUUGUGAUUUUGUUGCCUCAAACAUGAAGUCAAAGAGAAAGAGGCACUUAUGGUCUUGCGUUUAUGGAGAAAAGGGCUGAGGCGGCUCGCUCCAUCAUGAUUGAGGCAAAGAAAAGGGCUUACAUUAGACGCAAAGAAACAAAGAUGAGGAGAAACAAUAAAGUUACGGUUCCAAUGAUAUUUCUUCCAAUGAAUGUCCUGAUACUAAACUAGUAUCCAAAUUCUUGAAAAAUGCUCAUGAGGACAUAUUGUUCGAGGUAUUUCUUAGACUCCCCAAUUGUCGAUCUGCCAUUCUAUUUGGUUCUAUCUGUCGUCGUUGGCAUUCUGUGAUUUCACACCCUAAAUUUAUUCCGAAUUGCAUUCGCCACCGUCAUGACUUGCAAGAUCGCUACUCAGUACCCUACACCAUCUUAUUUCGAAGAGCCGAUGACCUUUUUUUCGACAUGCAAUGUGUUCAACCAUUUUGUAAGCUAUUCUCUGAGGAAUCAAAGUUUCUCCAUGGAAAGGGAGCAUCUAGUUAUUUGGACUUCAUGCCUUCAUCUGUGGUUAUAAGGGCCUCGUUUGCUGACUUAUUGCUUGUAGCAUCUAGUGGACGUCCUGGCAGAGAUUACUAUAUUUGUAAUCCACUUACAAAACAGUGGUUUAACUUCCUGAGGCUCCUAGAGGCUUUCAAACUGGGUUUGCAUUAGUAUGUAUCCCCAACAUUAGCAACUCACAACUUUGAUUCUCUAUCAACGGUCAUUACGAAUACAAGGUGGUCUUAAUCCAUAGUUCUGCGCAUAUUGGGGAAGAUUGUUUUGCAUUUCGGGCAACAAUUUUUUGUUCUAAAUCAGGAAAAUGGAGCCAGUCACUCUUCUCAUAUCCACGGUCCAAAAAGGUCCGGCGUAGCGAUUACGUUGAUGUUGUUACAUGUAAUGGAAUUCUAUAUUGGCGUGAAAAUAAGUGUUCUUUUGACAGAAUUGUUGCAUUUGAUUUGUUCAAUGAUCAAUGUCGUGUCAUCGACUUUCCUGAUGACUUUUGGUCCGUAUGGCAGAAUUCCUAUGGCAAAGUACACUUGGGAGCUGUAUGUGGAGAGCUGCGGAUGUUACAAGUUUUCAGCUCAAAUGAGGAUUGCUUUGUUAUGAAAGUUUGGGAAUUGAAUUAUUCCACUUCGUGGGAUUUGGUUCAUGAGAUAUACUUGAAAAGGCCGCAUAAGACUAAGAGUAUGGUUGGGCUUGUUGUUCAUCCAGACAACAGUAAUGUGAUUUUUAUGAUAUGGGACAAUCAUAUUUUCCAAUAUAAGAUUAAGGAAGACAUGUAUGAAAAGGUCGACGAGCUUCAAGUAUCUAUCAAUGCAAAGGCCGACUGGCUUUUAGAACAUUUAGAUGGAAAGUUCAAAAAAAUUAAACUAGCUGUAAAUUCACAUGAACGAUUUAGUACCUUCCCUCUCAUGCAUCUUGCAUGGCCAACACCGGUUCCUUCACAUCUUCCGUCUUUUUAGACCUUAUAUUUGGUUUCUUUCUUUCUUUUAUUUAUUUUUUAUAAUGGGCCGUGUAGUGUACUAUUAACCUAUU